CAGUAGCCGCGGGAAUACCGAGGGUGCGAGCGUUAAUCGGAUUUACUGGGCGUAAAGCGUGCGUAGGCGGCUUCUUAAGUCGGAUGUGAAAUCCCUGAGCUUAACUUAGGAAUUGCAUUCGAUACUGGGAAGCUAGAGUAUGGGAGAGGAUGGUAGAAUUCCAGGUGUAGCGGUGAAAUGCGUAGAGAUCUGGAGGAAUACCGAUGGCGAAGGCAGCCAUCUGGCCUAAUACUGACGCUGAGGUACGAAAGCAUGGGGAGCAAACAGGAUUAGAUACCCCCGUAGUCCCUGUCUCUUAUAC
RNAcentral lists this ribosomal RNA (301 nucleotides) under uncultured bacterium. Its description in RNAcentral is "partial 16S ribosomal RNA". It matches the Rfam family "Bacterial small subunit ribosomal RNA", at positions 509 to 807 of the family's 1533-position model. The record is from RNAcentral.